AGGAUCAUUUACUGGUUCAAAAGCUGUCCUGAAGUAAGCCUCGGGCGACCUUGGUUCUACUUUGAACUUCUUGCAAAAGGGCAGCCACUGCUUUGAGAAAGUUGCAGCCUCUAACAUGGCAUAAAACGUUAAGUCUGACCCUCCGUCGUCUGAUAGAUAGAUGCUUAACUUCUCCGGCGGAUAAUCAUAAGCCAUCACUGAUAACACUGUGUUGAUCACCAGGCUUGGUGGCUCUAUCAAUGGAUCCGCUGUGCAUACAAAUAUGUCUACUCCCGGUAAUUCUUUUUCGAACCUGUUAUUUUGUCCGAGAUUAAAACGAGCAGAUAAAAAAUAUACUCAGAUAAAAUUAAACACGUACAAUUAUAAAAUACGUAAUAAACUUCAUUCAAUUUUUCUUGAAUUAACUAGUUUUUUGUUAAAAUAACUUCUAUAUGUAUGAGAUACCUUUGGGAGAGCCUGUCUUUGUAAGGAAAGCGGUAGACAGAGUUCCAUCUACAAACUGUGGUGAGAAACCAAUAAAGACUGAACCAUAGCUCAGCAAGAAACAAUCCAAUCCAAGUCCAUCUCUCAACUUUUCCUUCCACUGGGAGAAACCUUACUCUGUAGACACAAAUGAAGCAGAUGCCCACAAAGAUGGAAGCUGCAAACAGCCUGAAAAGAAUCCGUCCCUUAACCGGCCUUGUUUCGAAGAGUGGAACAUAAUCAUCUUUUGCCAUGCCUCCCAGCUCUCUCAACUAGUGUAGAUGGGUGCUAAGAAAGAUGCGGACUGAUGAUUUCAAUGAGGAAGAGUGAAUGGAAAUUGGAAAGGAACCAACAGGUAACAAUGGGGUUGAUGUAGAAUAUAUAUUUUUAAAUAAGGGAUGAUGAGACUUGGUAUUCAAUGAAUUUGUUCGAACUUGUGCUUUGUCUAGAUGUUCAUCACUCAAAGCUUAGUACUUUCUUAAAAGAUAAACUACAACCGUUGCCUUUAAAAACUACAACCGUUGCCUUUAAAAGUUAUUUGUAAUAUUUCGUUGUCAUCCACAAUCGAAUACUAAAUCUGUAACAAUUUGAUAAUUGGUUCAAUUUAAUCGUAUUCUUUUUUCAAUUUUUUAUUCAAAAGAAAGACUUUAAACCCAAUUUUUUAAAUAAAAUAUAAUAUUGCAUGUAUUAGCUUGAAUGGGAUGAACGCUAACGUAUAAAUGUCAAUAUAUAACAUUGAAAGUGGCUGGCAUGUGAGCACCAUGUUACGGCUUCCUUUUCAUAUAUAUUUUUUGUGGCAAAUUUUAAUUUUUAAUUUUUUUUUUUGAAAAUUAAGGGUUUCAUUACUUAGCAUGGAAUCAAGUGUUCCCUGGAUCGGUACAAAAGUUUCGCCCGAUUUUAAGAUGCUAUAUAUGAAUAUGCACAUAUCAUCCCAAAAUCAAGGCCAUCAGUCUGAACACCCCAUCUGCACAAAAGCUUCCCUAUAUAAAAAAAUUCCUAGUACCUAUCGAUACACAAUCAGGCCAAAAUUCAGCCUCACAAAAAGCAUUAACUCGACAUAACUCAUGAACCCUGUUAAAAGUAAAUCCUUCAAUAAGAAUUGCCAGUAUCACUCACACAAGCAGAGUCACGCACAGAUAAAUCACAUAGAAUCAUUAGUCUGGGUCCAGAGCUCAACCAGAGAUGGACUUCCAAACCUGUGAAAUGAGUUUUUAUGGUUGGCAGCAGCAACAAGGUUAGAGAGUGCAGAAGCCUUCUCAAAUUCACACUACUCCUCUCGAGUCGCAGGGUUGCCACCAGGUAGUCUCUCUUCCAACCUUAUUCCCAUAACAAUCAAUCUCCACACUACUCAAAGACAUGUAAAAGAUCUGCUUGACGUUGAACCUCAAUAUACUUUUUUUUUUUUACCAAUGAAUUCAAUUUACUUUAAUUUAAAGGGAUUUCAAAAAUAUUUCUAGUGCAAGAAGGAGAAUUGAGAACUUGUCUAUUUGAACCAGCAAUUUAAAAAGUGAGAGUUUGAUUCAAAAUCAUAUUCAUGGGGUAGCCAAAACUAAGUUGUAGACAUCAUUAAUUAAAUGACACAGCCUUUGUUUGGUCCUAUUCUUUAAUUGGUCGCUUUCUUACGAGACCUAACCAAUGCAUAUUAAGAAAAACAUUUCUUUUUUAAUAGAAAAUUUCGUCAAAGGUAUUUGUUUGUUUUAAAGGCAGUCGAAAGUAUCUGUUAUUCUAGAGUGUUACCAAAAAGAACAAAACGUUUAUAAUAAUACAAAUUGUAAUAUAUUUUUUAACAUUUAUAUGUCAGGAUCUAUUCUUUUACAAGAGAUUAAAACUAUCAUAAAAGAAAAACAGAUGGUUAGAUUCCAACUCCCCAUUUUUCUGAUCCAAUCAUCAUUAAAUAAAUACGUACGAUCAUAGUGUAUUAUUCUUUUGGGUUGCAGAUCUACAAUCUUUUAAAAAUUGCAUUAAUUAAUUAGUUUUUCCAGAUUAAAUUUGAAUCAAUUACAGGAUAAUUAGAAAACUAAUGCACUACCUACUACUGCUGUCCUUUCCUGUGAUUAUUUAUAUAAUUAAUAAAAACUUAAUUAUAAAGUUUUGCCACUAUGAUGUAUGCGCCUAAUAUUACAAACUUAUCCAAAUUCUAUCACCAAAAUGGCUUGAAUAUCAUUGACUGAUUAAUUAUCUAAGUGUGAUGGCUUAAUAAGAAUUUACAAGAAAUAAAUAAAAUUGUAAUAGUUGGUUAAAAAAAAUUAUUGAAAAAAAUCAUCAAAUACUAUUUAUCUUAAUACUUUUAUUUCAACUAUAUUAUCCACACAUGACAUGACUAAUUUAUUAGUGCAAAUCGGAUUAUCUCAAUUAUGAAUUCAUUAAUUCACCCAUCCCACCCUCAAAUUUAACAUUGAAUUAUUGUCAUAUCGGAUAAAGAAUUUGGAAUGAAGAUGAUGAGACAAUUAAAAUAAUUUAGUAGAAUGAUUAACUAAUUAAUUAAUAGAUUUAGUCAAAGAAGUGCUUUUACUGAAGAGUUUGCAUGCUUUCUUGGAAUGGUUUUAUUGAUAAGCACUCAUCUGUUUAUAUACAAGUUACAGCAUUAAUAUAAAAAGAAAAACAAUCUAUACGAUGAAAUAUAUUGUCUAAAUAAAGGUAAUGCCUUAUAAUUGGGCCUACGAUUAAGGAAAGCAAAUCAUUAAGUCAAACCAAAUGGAAAAAUAUCCUUCAUUAUUUACUAACGAAAAUAUUGAACAUAUGAUAAUUUAAUAUGUAAUUUGUAACAUGUUACAUAUUUAAUAGCCUAAGAAAUGAAACAAAUUAUAAAACAGGAGUAGAGAUCCUUAACAUAGAAAUGAUUUCACAUUAGAAACACCAUGGAGUGCUAUAUUUGAUAAAUAUAAGACUUUCUCUUUGUUUUAUAGAAUCGUUUUAAUUUUCACAGGAAUUGGAAUAAUGAAAUUAUGGAAUUGUUUUCCUGAUAGUAAUACCAAUAACAUCACAAUGAAAUUAAAGAUUGUUAAAUUCAUUUAUUUUAAAAUACCCUUGGACUUGAAGCAGAACAAUCUAUUAUUUCAGUUCACAAUACACCUUAUGCAGAAAAUUCUGGAUAGGAAAACGGAACUAAUAAGUACCCUUUUAUCUUUUUUUCGUUGUCGUAGUAAUUUAAUACAUGGCCAGUGUACAGGCCAGCAAGGCAAAGCCAAUUGACUUGUAAGUAACCGAACUGGGCAUUCUACCAUUGUCCUUUCGGAAAAAGAGAGCUUGGUAUACAGGGAAGUUGAUAGUAACCAAAAGCAAACAGAGGAGAAUCUGCAACCCAAAUAGGUCCAAAACCUUGGAGUGAUCAGCUUCCAAGAUGACCUUCUUGAUUGCCCCCAAGCUGCUGAACAGAUUGAGCAUUGCAAGUGUUGCUAAAAUAUCAAACAUUGGUGAAGUAGCACCGAACUCUAUCAGCUCUUGCUCAUAUCUUUUCGAGACAUCGUCGUCAGCUACCUUGGCCGUGAUGACAAAGGCUGCCUUUGAAAACCCUAAUAAAUUCAAGAUGGUGUCGAAGAAGGCAAAGAAGUAGGAGGUUGUUCUUUUGAACAUCCACAUCCUUUGAUCGUUAAACCAACCUUGGAACGUGCCUCCGCACCAUAGGAAUUCUCCAAGGCUAUGGACGCGGUGUGCAAAGGCAACAUAUGCAAAUGGGACCACCCAGAGGGUCGAUGUCUGAUUGUCAAAAAUGAUUUAGUUAUUCAUGUGCAAAUUUACAAACUCCGUGGAUGUGUUAUGUUUAAAGCUCGUUUGACAUUGCAAUUGAGCUGCAUUUAGUCGCAAAUGCAUUGCCAAAUAAAGAUUUGACAAAUUUAAUUGAAAAAGUUGAGUGCUGGAAAUUUAGAAAGCAUAUUAAGAAUGAUGAUAAUGCUAAAGGAAUCAUUUUCGUUUGAAAGAUUUGAUUGUGAAAUUGGUUCCAAAUUCAGCUUGCUGUUUCUAAAAUAGUACAAAAAAGAGCAAGUUUGUCAGUGAGGAGAUUCAUACCUUAGGAAACAAGGAGAUGUCUUUAAGCAGGCAAAGGCAUGGCACAGCAACAUAAUACAACGUUGCCAAGCAGUUUGCAGCCCACAAAUUGUAAGGACAAUAUGCAAGUCGAAGUUUUAGAGGAAUCUUUUUAUGUCCAUACAACAGGGAGCAUUACCUUGACAGGAAUAUUUGCAAGUGACCUUCCGUCCAUCUCUUAUGUUGUAUUAACGUCUGCAAUAAUGUUGUUGGAGCAACUCCUAAGAAAGCUUCUCCUUGAGGAUUUAAGUAUAUAGAUUUCCAACCUCUACAUUGUAUACUCAAUCCUGUAAUUACAUCCUCCGCAGGGAAGCCAUAUGUUAAUCCCAUCUGCAACCAAAUAUUCAUAUCAUUAUUAUUAUGGAAAGUUGUCUGUUUGUGUGCGUGCACGUGCUCAUUUGAACAUGUGUUUAGGUAGGUGAGAAAGAGCAUUACGAACCUCUUUUCCCCAUUGUGUGUUUUGUUCAAAGGUACAGCUUGCAAGAACUUUACAUGUUUCUUCUAGGACGCUUGCACUUUCUUUAACCUUUCUCUCAUUUAGUCUCUUCCAAUCAACCUUACAGUCUUUGUCAUAUUUCUUCCCACAGAGAGCCUCUCUCCGGUGAAAGCAUCCGGAGCCAAUAUAGCAUGGCCCUCCAUUUGCGUCAAGUCCUGGAAGCUCCAACUUGAUUGUUGAUAACCCAUCACAGACAGAUGGAAGGAAAACAAAAAUAAUCAGAAUCUUCCUUAUUAGAUCAAUCACCGGCUUGCAUUAAAUUAAUUAGAGUAAAACAUUUCUGUUAUGCUUGAUUACCUGAUUUAUUACUCGGAAGGAACUACCAUACAAUUCAUUUUUGGUGAGAUUUUCGAAAUUCUGAGGAUACUGCACGUAGGCAAACUCAUCUCCCUUCUCUUCAUCCAUGAAAAAGCAUAAAGAAUUUUUGAUCGAUUCUGAAUUAUUCGAGUACAUAUCACAAUCCACAUUGAGAAUGAUUGGACCAUUACUUAUCCUUGAUGAUACCCUGAUCUAUAUAUUUAUCCACCGUAAAAAAAGGUUUCAAUAACAUAUGAAAAAGAAAACAAUUAGCUAUAAUGGUACUUACAAGAGCAUUCAUGGCUCCAGCUUUAAAAUGGUGGUGAAAUUGCGGUCUUUUCUCUCGUGCCAAAUACACAAGAGUUGGCAGAGGUCUUCCUUCAACAUCAACCGCAUUGGGGUCUCUCCCAUCAAUUAGGAUCUAAGAAAUUGAUUAAAACACCAGCAAUUAAAACUAAGCUCAAGUAUUUUACUAAGUUAUCGAAGCAUAAUUAAUUACUUGAAGAAUGGUUUGAUGAUCAUGUUUGCUUGAAACAAAAUCCCAUUCACGAAAUCCUUUGCGUUGUUUACGAAUGUCUUCAGGAAUUCGGUUCAACUUGGUGGUGGUUUCAAUCCUCAGUUUCAUGUCCUCGUAUAGUUUCUGCAUAAUUAAGAAAAAAGAUGCUUACCUUUUACAUAUAAAUGCUGGAGCAAAUAAUAUAUACUUAACAAUAGUAAGAAAGUUUGUCUCUGGUUUUUUGUUUGUUUCAUUAGUAGGAUCUGUGUUUUCGUUUCGACCAAGGAUGUGCCUUAUUUUUUGAUCGAGAUAUUCUCUUUGUAACACUGCUAUGUUCAUCCAUUUGCUUAGGGGCAAGCAGCUCUAAAACUCUUCUUGCGAAUUAGGUUAGAAGUUUAGCAUUCAUGAUAUUCACUGUCAAUGGCUUUUUGUGCAGUCUCUUUUGUAAGUGUACAGGUUUUCAAUAUUCGAACCAUGUCAAUGUGUCAUGAAAAGUCUAUUGUAGUAAGUAAGAGACUUGAAAUAUGCAUGAUUGAGGUUAAUAAAAUCUAAAAAAAAAGAAAAGUAAGAAAGUAAAAAAUUUAGCUCUAUGGUAUAAAACAACAGAUUAUUAUACUUUUAUAAACUUCUCUUUUAUUAUAUUCAAUCAAACUUUUAUAUUAUUAUUUUAAAUCAAAUAAAUUCUUAUAACUAAUAAUUAACUAAUUGUUGUUGUUAAUUAAAAUGUCUUUUAUUAUUUUAUACCAUGUGAUCAUGAUAUAACAUGUUGUCAUGUCAUAAUAGAUAAUAAUGUAACAUGUCAACGUCACAUAAAUAUAAAAAAAUAAAAAAUUUAAUUAAACAUAAUAAAAAAUAAAAAUUUAUUUAAAUUUAUAAUUCAAAAACUUUUUUACAUAUUAUACUUCCAAAUAAUUUGGUUUAGUAAUAAUUAUCCUCUUUAAUAGAAUAAAGAUUGGAUAUCCAAAUCAUCACUCUCCUUACAUAUAUAUGCAUCAUUUUCAAAUAAAAUUUUUAACCAAAUCGUUUUGUUUUGUUGUGAUUUUUCUUUUUAAACAACUAUUAUAUUCUUAUAAUUCAAAUAAAAUAUUUUCCAAAAAAAAAAGUAUAUAGUUAUCUUUCUAUGUACCCAAUUCUAUUUGGUAAAAAAUAAAUAAAAAUCAAGUUUAUCUCUCAAUCUCACCUCAUUUUUUUGGACAAAUUAACAUGAGACAAACACUGUUUUGCACAUGCUUAAGGUCAAACAAAGACAUUUUGUGCUUGAAAACAAAAAACGUAAUAAUAAUAGUUAAUAAACUUAAACAAAACAAGCAUUAGUAAUUGGUGCUACUCGGAUCGUCAAAAGAUAUUAAUAUAUAGGGAUCCCUAUUGGUUUUGUUUGGUAGCACCCGAAGAUCAAAAUAUCCUAAUAAAUAAAACUCAAAAGUCACUGAUUAAUUAAUAAAUUGCAAAUAGUAAUUUUCAAACCCACGAUAUUGUUGUCCUUUUUGACUUUUAUUGGAGAGUAAGACAAAAACUUUGUUUUUAAAGGACUUUAUAUUAAGAAUUUUAAUUUUUUAAUUUGAUAAUAUAUGGAGUAUUGGUUUGCAAUGCUUUUUAAUGUGAAAAAAAUUCUUCAAAAGACAUUAAAAAAAUUUAUAAUAUAAAAAUAUAAAAUUUUAUAUUAGAACAUUCCAAAGAAAAAGAUAGACAAAGAAAAUAAGAUGGAAGCAAGUAAUAUAAAUUUUCGAUCACAAAAAAUUAAUUUAUUAAGCAAUUACUACCUUUCAAAAAAAAAUUAUUAAGUAAUUACUCAAUGGAAACCUGAAAGUUGUUAAUUAAUAAAACAAAUUAUAAAAAUACUACUUUGGUACAAAAAUCGUAAUUAAUUAGUAGAGUACUGGAGGAAGUCCAAUUUAGAUGAAACAAUGCAACAAUAAUUGCAGAAAACCGCAAAAAGCAAACAUUCAACAGUGGUUGAUGUAAGACAAGUGAAACAAUUAAAUUACCUUUACUGAGAGCCACUCUUUGGCCUUGACGGGAUCAUUUACUGGUUCAAAAGCUGUCCUGAAGUAAGCCUCGGGCGACCUUGGUUCUACUUUGAACUUCUUGCAAAAGGGCAGCCAUUGCUUUGAGAAAGUUGCAGCCUCUAACAUGGCAUAGAACGUUAGGUCUGACCCGCCAUCGUCUGAUAGAUAGAUGCUUAACUUCUCUGGCGGAUAAUCAUAAGCCAUCACUGAUAACACUGUGUUGAUCACCAGGCU
RNAcentral lists this long non-coding RNA (8014 nucleotides) under Theobroma cacao (cacao). RNAcentral describes it as "long non-coding RNA (TCAC_LNC003553)". Lineage: Eukaryota; Viridiplantae; Streptophyta; Magnoliopsida; Malvales; Malvaceae. The record is from RNAcentral.